RNAcentral lists this ribosomal RNA (300 nucleotides) under uncultured Bacillus sp. RNAcentral's name for it is "bacterial SSU rRNA". It matches the Rfam family "Bacterial small subunit ribosomal RNA", at positions 496 to 795 of the family's 1533-position model. The record is from RNAcentral. Lineage: Bacteria; Bacillati; Bacillota; Bacilli; Caryophanales; Bacillaceae.
GGUAAGCGCGGGCCUGCGGCGGCGGGAAUACGUGGGGAGCUAGGGUUGUUCGGAAUUACUGGGCGUAAAGCGCACGUAGGCGGCUACUCAAGUCAGAGGUGAAAGCCCGGGGCUCAACCCCGGAACUGCCUUUGAAACUAGGUAGCUAGAAUCUUGGAGAGGUCAGUGGAAUUCCGAGUGUAGAGGUGAAAUUCGUAGAUAUUCGGAAGAACACCAGUGGCGAAGGCGACUGACUGGACAAGUAUUGACGCUGAGGUGCGAAAGCGUGGGGAGCAAACAGGAUUAGAUACCCUUGUAGUC